UGAAAAGCACGAAUACAAUUAUCUAAGCACCAACAACGAAUCAAAGAUAAACCUGUACAGAGAUUGGAAAUUGACACAUCCUGCGAAUAAACAUAAAGUCAAAAACACCAAAUUAGAUUACAGCGAAGAAAAAGAACCUAUCAAACGACGACAAACGGAAGACCAUCAGGACAUUGAUGAAUAUUAUGAAAAUAAAAAAGCAAAGAUUAUCAGUUGUCCGGACACUUCACUAUACUCAUCUCUUAUCAGCGAAGAUGAAGAUGAAGAUGAUAACUGCAUUAAAAUAGUUUCCGUUUCAUCAGUAGCGCCUAGACCUUUGAAUACUUCACCAACUGUGUCGAGCGUAGAUUCAAAAAAAUCAUUGUGUACAAUUAGCUGAAUAGGAAGUUACAAACCCCCACCGAUCCUAUACUAGUCAAUGCAUUUUAUUCGGCUGACAUUCAAUUUAUAAGACUUGAG
Long non-coding RNA from Adelges cooleyi (spruce gall adelgid), 459 nucleotides. RefSeq lists it as uncharacterized. The record is from RefSeq and is a predicted model, not a curated record. The transcript has 3 exons. Lineage: Eukaryota; Metazoa; Arthropoda; Insecta; Hemiptera; Adelgidae.